This 1152-nucleotide ribosomal RNA is filed under the name Listeria monocytogenes. Its description in RNAcentral is "partial 23S ribosomal RNA". It matches the Rfam family "Bacterial large subunit ribosomal RNA", at positions 408 to 1560 of the family's 2925-position model. The record is from RNAcentral. Lineage: Bacteria; Bacillati; Bacillota; Bacilli; Caryophanales; Listeriaceae.
CUGAGUACGGCGGAACACGUGAAAUUCCGUCGGAAUCCGGGAGGACCAUCUCCCAAGGCUAAAUACUCCCUAGUGACCGAUAGUGAACCAGUACCGUGAGGGAAAGGUGAAAAGCACCCCGGAAGGGGAGUGAAACAGUUCCUGAAACCGUGUGCCUACAAGUAGUUAGAGCCCGUUAAUGGGUGAUAGCGUGCCUUUUGUAGAAUGAACCGGCGAGUUACGAUUUGUUGCAAGGUUAAGCGGAAAAAGCGGAGCCGUAGCGAAAGCGAGUCUGAAUAGGGCGCAUAAGUAACAGGUCGUAGACCCGAAACCAGGUGAUCUACCCAUGUCCAGGAUGAAGGUAAGGUAAUACUUACUGGAGGUCCGAACCCACGCACGUUGAAAAGUGCGGGGAUGAGGUGUGGGUAGCGGAGAAAUUCCAAUCGAACUUGGAGAUAGCUGGUUCUCUCCGAAAUAGCUUUAGGGCUAGCCUCGAGGUAAAGAGUCAUGGAGGUAGAGCACUGUUUGGACUAGGGGCCCUUCUCGGGUUACCGAAUUCAGAUAAACUCCGAAUGCCAUGUACUUAUACUCGGGAGUCAGACUGCGAGUGAUAAGAUCCGUAGUCGAAAGGGAAACAGCCCAGACCACCAGUUAAGGUCCCCAAAUAUAUGUUAAGUGGAAAAGGAUGUGGGGUUGCUUAGACAACCAGGAUGUUGGCUUAGAAGCAGCCACCAUUGAAAGAGUGCGUAAUAGCUCACUGGUCGAGUGACCCCGCGCCGAAAAUGUACCGGGGCUAAACAUAUUACCGAAACUGUGGAUGAACCUCUUUAGAGGUUCGUGGUAGGAGAGCGUUCUAAGGGCGGUGAAGUCAGACCGGAAGGACUGGUGGAGCGCUUAGAAGUGAGAAUGCCGGUAUGAGUAGCGAAAGAAGGGUGAGAAUCCCUUCCACCGAAUAUCUAAGGUUUCCUGAGGAAGGCUCGUCCGCUCAGGGUUAGUCGGGACCUAAGCCGAGGCCGAUAGGCGUAGGCGAUGGACAACAGGUAGAGAUUCCUGUACCAGUGCUAAUUGUUUAACCGAUGGGGUGACACAGAAGGAUAGGGAAUCGCACGAAUGGAAAUGUGCGUCCAAGCAGUGAGUGUGAGAAGUAGGCAAAUCCGCUUCUCGCGAAGCAUG